This 394-nucleotide ribosomal RNA is filed under the name uncultured bacterium. RNAcentral's name for it is "partial 16S ribosomal RNA". It matches the Rfam family "Bacterial small subunit ribosomal RNA", at positions 523 to 918 of the family's 1533-position model. The record is from RNAcentral.
AUACGUAGGGAGCGAGCGUUGUCCGGAAUUACUGGGCGUAAAGGGCGCGUAGGCGGCGCUUCAAGUCGUCUGUCAAAUGGGAGGGCUUAAACCUUUUUCGCAGACGAAACUGGAGAGCUUGAGAAGCAGAGAGGCAAAAAGAAUUCCUGGUGUAGCGGGGAAAUGCGUAGAUAUCAGGAGGAAUACCAGUGGCGAAGGCGGUUUGCUGGCUGCAUACUGACGCUGAAGCGCGAAAGCCAGGGGAGCAAACGGGAUUAGAUACCCCGGUAGUCCUGGCAGUAAACGAUGUAUGCUGGGUGUGAGACUAGCGAUAGUUUCGUGCCGAAGUUAACGCGAUAAGCAUACCGCCUGGGGAGUACGGUCGCAAGAUUGAAACUUAAAGGAAUUGACGGGG